CCUACGGGGCGCACCAGUGGGGAAUAUUGCACAAUGGGCGCAAGCCUGAUGCAGCCAUGCCGCGUGUAUGAAGAAGGCCUUCGGGUUGUAAAGUACUUUCAGCGGGGAGGAAGGUGUUGUGGUUAAUAACCACAGCAAUUGACGUUACCCGCAGAAGAAGCACCGGCUAACUCCGUGCCAGCAGCCGCGGUAAUACGGAGGGUGCAAGCGUUAAUCGGAAUUACUGGGCGUAAAGCGCACGCAGGCGGUCUGUCAAGUCGGAUGUGAAAUCCCCGGGCUCAACCUGGGAACUGCAUUCGAAACUGGCAGGCUAGAGUCUUGUAGAGGGGGGUAGAAUUCCAGGUGUAGCGGUGAAAUGCGUAGAGAUCUGGAGGAAUACCGGUGGCGAAGGCGGCUUACUGGUCUGCAACUGACGCUGAGGCGCGAAAGCGUGGGGAGCAAACAGGAUUAGAUACCCGCGUAGUC
RNAcentral lists this ribosomal RNA (465 nucleotides) under uncultured bacterium. RNAcentral describes it as "bacterial SSU rRNA". It matches the Rfam family "Bacterial small subunit ribosomal RNA", at positions 338 to 795 of the family's 1533-position model. The record is from RNAcentral.